GGGAAACUGCCUGAUGGAGGGGGAUAACUACUGGAAACGGUAGCUAAUACCGCAUAACGUCGCAAGACCAAAGUGGGGGACCUUCGGGCCUCAUGCCAUCAGAUGUGCCCAGAUGGGAUUAGCUGGUAGGUGGGGUAACGGCUCACCUAGGCGACGAUCCCUAGCUGGUCUGAGAGGAUGACCAGCCACACUGGAACUGAGACACGGUCCAGACUCCUACGGGAGGCAGCAGUGGGGAAUAUUGCACAAUGGGCGCAAGCCUGAUGCAGCCAUGCCGCGUGUGUGAAGAAGGCCUUCGGGUUGUAAAGCACUUUCAGCGGGGAGGAAGGCGGUGAGGUUAAUAACCUCACCGAUUGACGUUACCCGCAGAAGAAGCACCGGCUAACUCCGUGCCAGCAGCCGCGGUAAUACGGAGGGUGCAAGCGUUAAUCGGAAUUACUGGGCGUAAAGCGCACGCAGGCGGUCUGUCAAGUCGGAUGUGAAACCCCCGGGCUCAACCUGGGAACUGCAUUCGAAACUGGCAGGCUAGAGUCUUGUAGAGGGGGGUAGAAUUCCAGGU
Molecule: ribosomal RNA, 559 nt
Filed under: uncultured bacterium
Lineage: Bacteria
Description: bacterial SSU rRNA
Rfam family: Bacterial small subunit ribosomal RNA
Source: RNAcentral